UACGUAGGGGGCUAGCGUUGUCCGGAAUCAUUGGGCGUAAAGAGCGCGUAGGCGGCCAGAUAAGUCCGGUGUGAAAGUCACAGGCUCAACCUGUGAAUGCCGCUGGAAACUGUCUGGCUAGAGUCCGGAAGGGGCGAGUGGAAUUCCUGGUGUAGCGGUGAAAUGCGUAGAUAUCAGGAGGAAUACCGGUGGCGAAAGCGACUCUCUGGACGGCAACUGACGCUGAGGCACGAAAGCGUGGGGAGCAAACAGG
This 253-nucleotide ribosomal RNA is filed under the name uncultured bacterium. RNAcentral's name for it is "partial 16S ribosomal RNA". It matches the Rfam family "Bacterial small subunit ribosomal RNA", at positions 524 to 776 of the family's 1533-position model. The record is from RNAcentral.